UUUUGGAAAACUCAAAUCCACGCGGACAAAGUCGCGGGCAUAAGUUAGUUUAUAAUAAGUGGUUAUAAGCAUUUCAGUACUCGGUGUGAUAUACUAUGAUACAUUUAUCUUUUCGUAGUUUGGUGCAUUUUAUAUUUCAGCUAACUUAAACGAGAUUAAAUUCAGGCAGUUACUAAAUUAUGGUCGAAAUUAAAUAAUCUAUCUGUAAUGAUGUGUCGAUAAGUUGCUUAGCAACGUUGUUAUGUCAAUAGUAGGGUAAGGGGUCUUAGACUGUGUAGUAGUAAUAAAAUGAUGUGAUGUUUUGUAUAGCGAUAGUUUAUGGAGCUAGGAUUCAUCAUUAAAGAUAAUAUUUAAAAAAUUGGUUGUCUGUAAAGUCGGUUUACUGACGAUAGUUGAACGUGACAACAAAGGCCGAUUGUGCUUCUUUGUCGCUCGUUCCGCGCUGUCGCUUGC
Maniola jurtina (meadow brown) is the source of this 453-nucleotide long non-coding RNA. RefSeq lists it as uncharacterized. The transcript is spliced from 3 exons. NCBI's taxonomy places the organism in Eukaryota, Metazoa, Arthropoda, Insecta, Lepidoptera, Nymphalidae. The record is from RefSeq and is a predicted model, not a curated record.